This 346-nucleotide ribosomal RNA is filed under the name uncultured bacterium. RNAcentral's name for it is "partial 16S ribosomal RNA". It matches the Rfam family "Bacterial small subunit ribosomal RNA", at positions 338 to 701 of the family's 1533-position model. The record is from RNAcentral.
CCUACGGGAGGCUGCAGUAGGGAAUAUUGCUCAAUGGGGGAAACCCUGAAGCAGCAACGCCGCGUGGAGGAUGAAGGUUUUAGGAUUGUAAACUCCUUUUGGUAGAGAAGAGGAUGACGGUAUCUAACGAAUAAGCAGCGGCUAACGCCGUGCCAGCAGCCGCGGUAAUACGGAGGGUGCAAGCGUUCCUCGGAAUCACUGGGCGUAAAGAGUGCGUAGGCGGGGGAAGAAGUCAGAUGUGAAAUCCUGUCGCUUAACGACAGAACUGCAUUUGAAACUGUUACUCUGGAGUGUGGGAGAGGUCGGUGGACUUCUUGGUGUCGUGGUCACAUCCGUAGCGAUCAAG